RNAcentral lists this long non-coding RNA (370 nucleotides) under Mytilus galloprovincialis (Mediterranean mussel). Lineage: Eukaryota; Metazoa; Mollusca; Bivalvia; Mytilida; Mytilidae. The record is from RNAcentral.
GUUUGUUGAAUAUAGAUGAUUAUCAUUUCAUUCUUAUUUUUGGCCACUAAAAAAGAUAAGUCCUACAGAACAUUAUAUUAAUUUUUUAUAUAUAACCAUGAAAUAUAAUGUACAGUUGCCAUGGCAACAACAUAGGAACUUCUUCUCAUUAAAGACAUCCAACGAGAUUCAUAGUUAACAUUUUAAAGCACCUAAAUGACCCUGACUGGUAUUCACUCCAAACAAUCACAAGAGUAAACGUCCCUUGUUCUGCAUUUUCUUGAUGUAGUUCUCAGCUUUUAUUAUCCAUAUUUCCUUUCUCCAUCGAACUUUCAGGAUAACAUUUAUGUACAUCUCUGGCCAUAUUACGAGCAUCACUAAACAAACAAAU